RNAcentral lists this unclassified non-coding RNA (735 nucleotides) under Stegodyphus dumicola. RNAcentral describes it as "melanoma-associated antigen D2-like, transcript variant X6". Lineage: Eukaryota; Metazoa; Arthropoda; Arachnida; Araneae; Eresidae. The record is from RNAcentral.
AAUUUACUUUUUGUGUUAUAGCUCUGGUGUAAAAAAACAACAGCAAGGUUUAAUCCUGUAUCUUCUGCUCAUUAUUUAUAUGAAUGAAAAUUCAAUAUCUGAAAGUGAUUUAUGGAACGCUUUGGUCCCACUUGGAAUAAAGCCCAGCACUCAGAAGUCACAUCCCAUAUUUGGAGAUGUUCAGAAGUACAUUAACUCUGAACUUGUUAAACAAAUGUACAUAGAUCAUGUAUGUAUCAGUAAAGAUCCACUUAAUUAUGAGUAUCGAUGGGGACCACGAGCCGAAUCAGAAGUAGAUAAAUCAGAUCUCCUUCAGUUCGCUUGCUUAGUCUUAGAUAAGAAACCAGAAGACUGGAUCUUGCAGUACAAAGAUGCUACGGAAUCUGCUGAAACACAAGAUAGUGUUGAAAAUAGUUAAAUAUGUGGAGCAAUGUAAGGAGGAGUGAGACAUAUUACUGAAAUGAAGCUCCUGAUUCCAGUUUCGCAACCAGAAGAAGCUUUGCCUUUUGCAUCAGCGUUUACAGCAGAGUGGUCUGUCCGCAAGACGUCCAUUGCUUCGUCUACCCUUGACACAGAACCACAGACAUCUCCGCCGCCAAUGAUGUGACGAAAGAAGGAUGUGGACAGCAGAAUGGAAUGAAAUUUGUCUUUACUGAUGAGUCACGCUUCUGUCUGCAACACCAUGAUGGUCGGAUUCGAGUCUGGAGACACUGUGGAGAGAGGAUGCUGAUCAGC